This 364-nucleotide ribosomal RNA is filed under the name Chondrocera laticornis. RNAcentral describes it as "SSU rRNA". It matches the Rfam family "Eukaryotic small subunit ribosomal RNA", at positions 652 to 1011 of the family's 1831-position model. The record is from RNAcentral. Lineage: Eukaryota; Metazoa; Arthropoda; Insecta; Hemiptera; Coreidae.
GGUAUACCAGCGUGUAGGUAGUUGCGCCGGGUCGUCCUUGAACGCCGGCUCAAUCCUACCUAGGUGCUCUUUACCGAGUGUCGAGGUAGGCCGACACUGUUUACUUUGAACAAAUUAGAGUGCUUAAAGCAGGCUCUUAAAUCAGCCUGAAUAGUGGUGCAUGGAAUAAUGGAAAAGGACCUUGGUUCUAUUUUGUUGGUUUUCGGAAUCCAAGGUAAUGAUCAAUAAGGACAGGCGGGGGCAUUCGUAUUGCGACGUUAGAGGUGAAAUUCUUGGAUCGUCGCAAGACGCACUAGAGCGAAAGCAUUUGCCAAGUAUGUCUUAAUUGAUCAAGAACGAAAGUUAGAGGCUCGAAGGCGAUCAG